Molecule: ribosomal RNA, 928 nt
Filed under: uncultured bacterium
Lineage: Bacteria
Description: bacterial SSU rRNA
Rfam family: Bacterial small subunit ribosomal RNA
Source: RNAcentral
GAGUUUGAUCAUGGCUCAGAUUGAACGCUGGCGGCAGGCCUAACACAUGCAAGUCGAGCGGUAACAGAAAGUAGCUUGCUACUUUGCUGACGAGCGGCGGACGGGUGAGUAAUGCUUGGGAACAUGCCUUGAGGUGGGGGACAACAGUUGGAAACGACUGCUAAUACCGCAUAAUGUCUACGGACCAAAGGGGGCUUCGGCUCUCGCCUUUAGAUUGGCCCAAGUGGGAUUAGCUAGUUGGUGAGGUAAUGGCUCACCAAGGCGACGAUCCCUAGCUGGUUUGAGAGGAUGAUCAGCCACACUGGGACUGAGACACGGCCCAGACUCCUACGGGAGGCAGCAGUGGGGAAUAUUGCACAAUGGGCGCAAGCCUGAUGCAGCCAUGCCGCGUGUGUGAAGAAGGCCUUCGGGUUGUAAAGCACUUUCAGUCAGGAGGAAAGCGUGGUGGUUAAUACCCAUCAUGUGUGACGUUACUGACAGAAGAAGCACCGGCUAACUCCGUGCCAGCAGCCGCGGUAAUACGGAGGGUGCGAGCGUUAAUCGGAAUUACUGGGCGUAAAGCGUACGCAGGCGGUUUGUUAAGCGAGAUGUGAAAGCCCCGGGCUCAACCUGGGAACUGCAUUUCGAACUGGCAAACUAGAGUGUGAUAGAGGGUGGUAGAAUUUCAGGUGUAGCGGUGAAAUGCGUAGAGAUCUGAAGGAAUACCGAUGGCGAAGGCAGCCACCUGGGUCAACACUGACGCUCAUGUACGAAAGCGUGGGGGAGCAAACGGGAUUAGAUACCCCGGUAGUCCACGCCGUAAACGAUGUCUACUAGAAGCUCGGAGCCUCGGUUCUGUUUUUCAAAGCUAACGCAUUAAGUAGACCGCCUGGGGAGUACGGCCGCAAGGUUAAAACUCAAAUGAAUUGACGGGGGCCCGCACAAGCGG